AUCAGUUAAAACUCUAUGAACUUCUUGUCUCUCUCUUUUGUUAUUUCUUUCCUGUUGAUGAGACUGCGAUGAACUUUAACUCUAUUUUAUUCGAAUUGCAGAGAGUUGACAUAAAUUACAGCUCAACGAUUACUCCUGAUCAGGUACGCUAAGCUUAGAUUUUGUUUAUUGCAGCUCUGUAUAUUGGAUGUUCUAACUAAGCAUAUGUUGAAUGUAAUUCUUUCUGGAAAACAAUGGUUGAUUAACAUACUUGGGAAAAACUAUGAUAUUCUGCUUGGCAUCUUCCAUUUGGACGGUUGGCUAGAGAUCUCAUACCUGAGAUUUGGGUGAGACGACAACGGCUAUAUCUUAGAGAUCGGAAGAAAGCAUAGCAGAGUGAUGAAUUUUCUGCUAUCAAUAUCCCAGUAAAAUUUUACUUUUCUUUUUUUUUUUUUAUGAAAUUCUGUUGGAAAUAUUUUCAAGUGAUACAAACAGAGAAUUUUAUAUGGCGCAUAUGACAUAGCACCGACUGCUUUGUACUUUGUAAUUAAACAAAAGCUGUUAGAUCGUCUGUCUAUUAGAGAUGGCGACAGAUUGGAUAAAGGUUAAAUAUCUUAAUUUUUAUCU
Long non-coding RNA from Mangifera indica (mango), 606 nucleotides. RefSeq lists it as uncharacterized. Lineage: Eukaryota; Viridiplantae; Streptophyta; Magnoliopsida; Sapindales; Anacardiaceae. The record is from RefSeq and is a predicted model, not a curated record. The transcript is spliced from 2 exons.